RNAcentral lists this ribosomal RNA (468 nucleotides) under uncultured bacterium. RNAcentral's name for it is "partial 16S ribosomal RNA". It matches the Rfam family "Bacterial small subunit ribosomal RNA", at positions 28 to 507 of the family's 1533-position model. The record is from RNAcentral.
GACGAACGAUGGAGGAGGGAGGAACACAGGCAAGUCGAACGGAAAGGCCCUGCUUUUGUGGGGUGCUCGAGUGGCGAACGGGUGAGUAACACGUGAGUAACCUGCCCUUGACUUUGGGAUAACUUCAGGAAACUGGGGCUAAUACCGGAUAGGAGCUCCUGCUGCAUGGUGGGGGUUGGAAAGUUUCGGCGGUUGGGGAUGGACUCGCGGCUUAUCAGCUUGUUGGUGGGGUAGUGGCUUACCAAGGCUUUGACGGGUAGCCGGCCUGAGAGGGUGACCGGCCACAUUGGGACUGAGAUACGGCCCAGACUCCUACGGGAGGCAGCAGUGGGGAAUAUUGCACAAUGGGCGGAAGCCUGAUGCAGCAACGCCGCGUGCGGGAUGACGGCCUUCGGGUUGUAAACCGCUUUCGCCUGUGACGAAGCGUGAGUGACGGUAAUGGGUAAAGAAGCACCGGCUAACUACGUG